RNAcentral lists this ribosomal RNA (503 nucleotides) under uncultured bacterium. Its description in RNAcentral is "partial 16S ribosomal RNA". It matches the Rfam family "Bacterial small subunit ribosomal RNA", at positions 30 to 523 of the family's 1533-position model. The record is from RNAcentral.
AUUGAACGCUGGCGGCAGGCUUAACACAUGCAAGUCGAGCGGGCGAGGUUGCUUCGGUAACUGAGCUAGCGGCGGACGGGUGAGUAAAGCUUAGGAAUCUGCCUAUUAGUGGGGGACAACAUUCCGAAAGGGAUGCUAAUACCGCAUACGUCCUACGGGAGAAAGCAGGGGAUCACUUGUGACCUUGCGCUAAUAGAUGAGCCUAAGUCGGAUUAGCGAGUUGGUGGGGUAAAGGCCUACCAAGGCGACGAUCUGUAGCGGGUCUGAGAGGAUGACCCGCCACACUGGGACGGAGACACGGCCCAGACUCCUACGGGAGGCAGCAGUGGGGAAUAUUGGACAAUGGGGGGAACCCUGAUCCAGCCAUGCCGCGUGUGUGAAGAAGGCCUUUUGGUUGUAAAGCACUUUAAGCGAGGAGGAGGCUUACCUGGUUAAUACCUGGGAUAAGUGGACGUUACUCGCAGAAUAAGCACCGGCUAACUCUGUGCCAGCCGCCGCUGUAA